CCGGGGAAGCAGAGGCGCGGUGCCGGGGAAGGAGCCUUGGAGCGGGGCCCGGGCAGGGCCUGUCCGGCGGGAAGAAGCAUUUUGUGUAUGAGUGAAAAGUCUUCUUGGAUAAUUAAGACUGUGUCUAAAAUCACAGUUACAGUAUGCUGAUCUAUAAGGAAACUCAGGUCUAAAGCACAGAAACCUGUCCCAGAGGAGGCCAUGUCCUCGUGCAGGGCACUUGUCUUUGUCCCCUGCUCUUAGAGGACA
Parus major (Great Tit) is the source of this 249-nucleotide long non-coding RNA. RefSeq lists it as uncharacterized. NCBI's taxonomy places the organism in Eukaryota, Metazoa, Chordata, Aves, Passeriformes, Paridae. The transcript is spliced from 3 exons. The record is from RefSeq and is a predicted model, not a curated record.